Molecule: long non-coding RNA, 566 nt
Organism: Ipomoea nil (Japanese morning glory)
Lineage: Eukaryota; Viridiplantae; Streptophyta; Magnoliopsida; Solanales; Convolvulaceae
Exons: 4
Source: RefSeq, a predicted model, not a curated record
AUAAUCAGACCCGAUACAUCAUUAUCCCCAAAUAAAUUCCCAAAAUUUUGAAUAUCGAAAUUCUGAGUUCUGGAACCGCCUUUUUUCUCGUUGCCGCGACUGCCAUAGACGUAAGGAUGAUCGGUUUAUUUGUGUGCUGUUUUCUCAUUUAGUCCGGUUAUCUUCAGACGUUUGCUCGUUGCUUAUCAUUGUGCAUUUCAUUUCUGCCUGGUGACUUUGAUUGGAGAUGCCAACUGUAUAUUCUGCUGUUUCUGAAGAACAAAAGAUAGUGAUUAAAUUGAAUCAGAAUCAUUUUGGACUGGUGAUGGAAACAAAUCAAAGUUGUUCAUGAAGUUCUACAGAGUGCCUACUACCAAAAAAGCAGGUCCCCGGAGUAAUUGGCUUUGAUGCUUCCCUAUUGAUGCCCGAUUGUAUUGGAGCAAAAAGAAAAAGAGUUCUUUGGAAGCAAGGCCGAUAAUUCCAUGGCCGGUUUCUAUCAGUAGUUUGGAAACAUGUGUUUACUUAUAAUGAUUCUAUGACUCCAUUAGUGAUUUUAUGACUACAAAGGCAAUGCCAAUGGUGAUUUU